UCCGGUUUAACACCGGCAGUCUCCAUAGAGUGCCCAACUGAAUGAUGGCAACUAGGGAUAAGGGUUGCGCUCGUUAAGGGACUUAACCCGACAUCUCACGAUACGAGCUGACGACAGCCAUGCAGCACCUGUCUCCCGGCCUCCGAAGAGGAAACCGUAUUUCUACGGCUGUCCGGGGAUGUCAAACCCAGGUAAGGUUCUUCGCGUUGCAUCGAAUUAAACCACAUGCUCCACCGCUUGUGCGGGCCCCCGUCAAUUCCUUUGAGUUUUAAUCUUGCGACCGUACUUCCCAGGCGGGGUACUUAAUGCGUUAGCGUCGACACUGCAGGGGUCAAUUCCUGCAACAUCUAGUACCCAUCGUUUACGGCGUGGACUAC
This 377-nucleotide unclassified non-coding RNA is filed under the name uncultured Oligoflexales bacterium. RNAcentral describes it as "contains 16S-23S intergenic spacer region". The record is from RNAcentral. Lineage: Bacteria; Pseudomonadati; Bdellovibrionota; Oligoflexia; Oligoflexales.